Triticum dicoccoides is the source of this 813-nucleotide long non-coding RNA. RefSeq lists it as uncharacterized. NCBI's taxonomy places the organism in Eukaryota, Viridiplantae, Streptophyta, Magnoliopsida, Poales, Poaceae. The transcript has 3 exons. The record is from RefSeq and is a predicted model, not a curated record.
UUCAUGGAGAAGGCUUCGUCUGAAGUUCUGAUUGCGUCUCGGCGUCUCCAGGAGUUCUUCCCUGCUUCAUCAUUUAGGAGCGAUCCUCUUAACCCUCUUCUGCAGAUCGAAGAAGGCAACCGAUCGGGAAGAUGAGCAGCUGGUCGUCGUCCGUCGAGAAGAUGAAGAGGUGGAUGGUGAUGCCCGCGGCCGCGGGAGUGGAGGCGAAGCUGCUGUGCGUAGUCUGCAGCGUCCCGCGCCCGGAAGAUCCACCCGUGCAGGGAGAUUAUGUGGAACAACGUGUGCACCACAGCAUCAAGCGCCUUGGUUACGCUUGCAUUGCCCUGAAGGAUUUUUCUAAACUCAAGAUGAUGCAUGACGUCGACUGGAAUGAGAAGCAUAGGCUUAUUUUCCGGCACAAAAAAGUGAUAAUUGUAUUCUCUUAACUGUAAAUAAAUUGUGAGUGUCACACAUGAAAUCCUUAGGUUAUUUUAUUUCUGAAUUUGAACUUCCAAUAGUGAAUCUGAAAAGGAAUAGUGCUCUUGUAAUAAGUUUAAAUUUGGAGUAUGAAACUGUUAAUUGGUACCGCCUGUCAAUGGUAUAUGCUGAGUUCCUGACGGGUGUUGGAUUAUUCGUUGUGUCCUUUUGAUCAUUGCAGAAAAAUGCCUACGCAUUGCUGUAUUCGGGAGACUAUUCCGAUGCCGCCAAAAAUGCAAUGAAGAAUAGUUUUGAAACGAAGAUAUCUCACAUAGUGGAUAUCAGCUACCGCAGCUUUUCAGGUAAGAGCGAUGUUGUGAAAUUUUUGACGGUCAAGGGAGCUAAGCCUGACGGGCG